CCUACGGGAGACAGCAGUGAGGAAUAUUGGUCAAUGGCCGGAAGGCUGAACCAGCCAUGCCGCGUGAAGGUCAGUGCCCUAUGGGCGUUAAACUUCUUUUGUGCGGGAGCAAUAAUGGUCACGUGUGGCCAGACGAGAGUACCGUACGAAUAAGCAUCGGCUAACUCCGUGCCAGCAGCCGCGGUAAUACGGGGGAUGCAAGCGUUAUCCGGAUUUAUUGGGUUUAAAGGGUGCGUAGGCUGGGAGGUAAGUCAGCGGUGAAAUGCCCCCGCUCAACGGGGUGAAGUGCCAUUGAUACUGGCUGGCUGGAAUGCGGAUGCCGUAGGAGGAAUGUGUGGUGUAGCGGUGAAAUGCAUAGAUAUCACACAGAACACCGAUUGCGAAGGCAUCUCACGAAGCCGCGAUUGACGCUGAUGCACGAAAGCGUGGGUAUCAAACAGGAUUAGAUACCCCUGUAGUC
This 460-nucleotide ribosomal RNA is filed under the name uncultured bacterium. RNAcentral describes it as "partial 16S ribosomal RNA". It matches the Rfam family "Bacterial small subunit ribosomal RNA", at positions 338 to 795 of the family's 1533-position model. The record is from RNAcentral.